AUGCGUUAGUAGCGGCGAGUGAGCGGCAAAAGCUCAAAUUUGAAAUCUGGCUCUUUCAGAGUCCGAGUUGUAAUUUGAAGAAGGUAUCUUUGGGUCUGGCUCUUGUCUAUGUUUCUUGGAACAGAACGUCACAGAGGGUGAGAAUCCCGUGCGAUGAGAUGAUCCAGGCCUAUGUAAAGUUCCUUCGAAGAGUCGAGUUGUUUGGGAAUGCAGCUCUAAGUGGGUGGUAAAUUCCAUCUAAAGCUAAAUAUUGGCGAGAGACCGAUAGCGAACAAGUACAGUGAUGGAAAGAUGAAAAGAACUUUGAAAAGAGAGUGAAAAAGUACGUGAAAUUGUUGAAAGGGAAGGGCUUGAGAUCAGACUUGGUAUUUUGUAUGUUACUUCUUCGGGGGUGGCCUCUACAGUUUAUCGGGCCAGCAUCAGUUUGGGCGGUAGGAGAAUUGCGUUGGAAUGUGGCACGGCUUCGGUUGUGUGUUAUAGCCUUCGUCGAUACUGCCAGCCUAGACUGAGGACUGCGGUUUAUACCUAGGAUGUUGGCAUAAUGAUCUUAAGUCGCCCGUCUUGA
This 565-nucleotide ribosomal RNA is filed under the name Candida tropicalis. RNAcentral describes it as "eukaryotic LSU rRNA". It matches the Rfam family "Eukaryotic large subunit ribosomal RNA", at positions 73 to 657 of the family's 3401-position model. Lineage: Eukaryota; Fungi; Ascomycota; Pichiomycetes; Serinales; Debaryomycetaceae. The record is from RNAcentral.